AGAGUUUGAUCCUGGCUCAGGACGAACGCUGGCGGUGCGCUUAAUGCAUGCAAGUCGAACGGGCAAAGGGGCUUCGGCCUCCGCGCUAGUGGCAGACGGCUGAGUAACACGUAAGUGAUCUGCCCCGGAGAGGGGGAUAACCCGGAGAAAUCCGGCCUAAUACCCCAUACGUUCAUGUGGUUAUGGCCAUGUGAAGAAAGGUUUACGUCGCUCUGGGAGGAGCUUGCGGCCUAUCAGGUAGUUGGUGGGGUAAAGGCCUACCAAGCCGAAGACGGGUAACCGAUGUGAGAGCAUGAUCGGUCAGAGGGGGACUGAGACACGGCCCCCACUCCUACGGGAGGCAGCAGCAGGGAAUCUUGCGCAAUGGGCGAAAGCCUGACGCAGCGACACCGCGUGGGGGAAGAAGGCCUCAGGGUUGUAAACCCCUUUUCUGUGGGAAGAGAUAGGACGGUACCACAGGAAUAAGCAUCGGCUAACUACGUGCCAGCAGCCGCGGUAAUACGUAGGAUGCAAGCGUUGUCCGGAUUUACUGGGCGUAAAGGGUGUGUAGGCGGCAUGGUAAGUCUCAUGUGAAAUCUCCCGGCUCAACUGGGAGGGGUCAUGGGAAACUGCCAAGCUUGAGGGCAGCAGAGGAAAGCGGAAUUCCGGGAGUAGUGGUGGAAUGCGUAGAUACCCGGAGGAACACCAGAGGCGAAGGCGGCUUUCUGGGCUGUGCCUGACGCUGAUACACGAAAGCGUGGGGAGCAAACCGGAUUAGAUACCCGGGUAGUCCACGCCCUAAACGAUGGAUACUAGAUAUAGGGGGUAUCGACCCCUCCUGUGUCGGAGUUAACGCGAUAAGUAUCCCGCCUGGGGAGUACGGCCGCAAGGCUAAAACUCAAAGGAAUUGACGGGUCCCCGCACAAGCGGCGGAGCGUGUGGUUUAAUUCGAUGAUAAGCGAAGAACCUUACCUGGGCUUGACAUGCAUUUGACAACCCAUGAAAAUGGGCUUUCCUUAGGGACAGAUGCACAGAUGUUGCAUGGCUGUCGUCAGCUCGUG
This 1040-nucleotide ribosomal RNA is filed under the name uncultured bacterium. RNAcentral's name for it is "bacterial SSU rRNA". It matches the Rfam family "Bacterial small subunit ribosomal RNA", at positions 8 to 1064 of the family's 1533-position model. The record is from RNAcentral.